GCUGGCGGCGUGCUUAACACAUGCAAGUCGAACGGAAAGGCCCUGCUUUUGUGGGGUGCUCGAGUGGCGAACGGGUGAGUAACACGUGAGUAACCUGCCCUUGACUUUGGGAUAACUUCAGGAAACUGGGGCUAAUACCGGAUAGGAGCUCCUGCUGCAUGGUGGGGGUUGGAAAGUUUCGGCGGUUGGGGAUGGACUCGCGGCUUAUCAGCUUGUUGGUGGGGUAGUGGCUUACCAAGGCUUUGACGGGUAGCCGGCCUGAGAGGGUGACCGGCCACAUUGGGACUGAGAUACGGCCCAGACUCCUACGGGAGGCAGCAGUGGGGAAUAUUGCACAAUGGGCGGAAGCCUGAUGCAGCAACGCCGCGUGCGGGAUGACGGCCUUCGGGUUGUAAACCGCUUUCGCCUGUGACGAAGCGUGAGUGACGGUAAUGGGUAAAGAAGCACCGGCUAACUACGUGCCAGCAGCCGCGGUGAUACGUAGGGUGCGAGCGUUGUCCGGAUUUAUUGGGCGUAAAGGGCUCGUAGGUGGUUGAUCGCGUCGGAAGUGUAAUCUUGGGGCUUAACCCUGAGCGUGCUUUCGAUACGGGUUGACUUGAGGAAGGUAGGGGAGAAUGGAAUUCCUGGUGGAGCGGUGGAAUGCGCAGAUAUCAGGAGGAACACCAGUGGCGAAGGCGGUUCUCUGGGCCUUUCCUGACGCUGAGGAGCGAAAGCGUGGGGAGCGAACAGGCUUAGAUACCCUGGUAGUCCACGCUGUAAACGGUGGGUACUAGGUGUGGGGUCCAUUCCACGGGUUCCGUGCCGUAGCUAACGCUUUAAGUACCCCGCCUGGGGAGUACGGCCGCAAGGCUAAAACUCAAAGGAAUUGACGGGGCCCCGCACAAGCGGCGGAGCAUGCGGAUUAAUUCGAUGCAACGCGUAGAACCUUACCUGGGUUUGACAUGGAUCGGGAGUGCUCAGAGAUGGGUGUGCCUCUUUUGGGGUCGGUUCACAGGUGGUGCAUGGCUGUCGUCAGCUCGUGUCGUGAGAUGUUGGGUUAAGUCCCGCAACGAGCGCAACCCUUGUUCACUGUUGCCAGCACGUUAUGGUGGGGACUCAGUGGAGACCGCCGGGGUCAACUCGGAGGAAGGUGGGGAUGACGUCAAGUCAUCAUGCCCCUUAUGUCCAGGGCUUCACGCAUGCUACAAUGGCUGGUACAGAGAGUGGCGAGCCUGUGAGGGUGAGCGAAUCUCGGAAAGCCGGUCUCAGUUCGGAUUGGGGUCUGCAACUCGACCUCAUGAAGUCGGAGUCGCUAGUAAUCGCAGAUCAGCAACGCUGCGGUGAAUACGUUCCCGGGGCUUGUACACACCGCCCGUCAAGUCAUGAAAGUUGGUAACACCCGAAGCCGGUGGCCUAACCGUUGUGGGGGAGCCGUCGAAGGUGGGACUGGUGAUUAGGACUAAG
Molecule: ribosomal RNA, 1443 nt
Filed under: uncultured organism
Description: 16S ribosomal RNA
Rfam family: Bacterial small subunit ribosomal RNA
Source: RNAcentral